This 308-nucleotide long non-coding RNA is filed under the name Helianthus annuus (common sunflower). RNAcentral's name for it is "sRNA HanXRQr2_Chr15g0700011". The record is from RNAcentral. Lineage: Eukaryota; Viridiplantae; Streptophyta; Magnoliopsida; Asterales; Asteraceae.
GGUUCGAAUCUCGUGACUACCGUUAAGGUUUGAUUUGGGUUUUACACAAAUACGUAUUCCAUUCUAUGUUUAACUACCAGAAUACUCCCAACUACACACUUACAAUCAAACAAGCUGUUAAAUCACCAGAAGAUUUAGAACAAUAAAGUAUACUCUUAAUUAUCAGAAGGAGUAGAAUCAAGAAGCUUGUUAAAUCAAUACUGCAUGCUUAUGAAGUAAUUACAGUAGAUCGGAAUAAGAGAUGGAUACGGCACCAAAAGGCUUACAGAAGUGGCUUGAUUUAUCAAUUAAAUUAAAUUAAGAAUUAC